Molecule: ribosomal RNA, 546 nt
Filed under: uncultured cyanobacterium
Lineage: Bacteria; Bacillati; Cyanobacteriota
Description: bacterial SSU rRNA
Rfam family: Bacterial small subunit ribosomal RNA
Source: RNAcentral
UAUGCUUACACAUGCAAGUCGAACGGAACCUUCGGGUUUAGUGGCGGACGGGUGAGUAACGCGUGAGAAUCUGCCUCUAGGUCGGGGACAACAACUGGAAACGGUUGCUAAUACCCGAUGUGCAGCAAUGUGAAAGAUUUAUUGCCUAGAGAUGAGCUCGCGUCUGAUUAGCUAGUAGGUGUGGUAAUGGCGCACCUAGGCGACGAUCAGUAACUGGUCUGAGAGGAUGACCAGUCACACUGGGACUGAGACACGGCCCAGACUCCUACGGGAGGCAGCAGUGGGGAAUUUUCCGCAAUGGGCGAAAGCCUGACGGAGCAAUACCGCGUGAGGGACGAAGGCUUUUGGGUCGUAAACCUCUUUUCCCUGAGAAGAAGAUCUGACGGUAUCAGGGGAAUCAGCAUCGGCUAACUUCGUGCCAGCAGCCGCGGUAAUACGAGGGAUGCAAGCGUUAUCCGGAAUUAUUGGGCGUAAAGCGUCCGCAGGUGGCUCUGUAAGUCUGUCGUUAAAGAAUGGGGCUCAACCCCAUACAGGAGAUGGAAACUA